This 593-nucleotide long non-coding RNA is filed under the name Gossypium barbadense (sea-island cotton). Its description in RNAcentral is "long non-coding RNA (GBAR_LNC021415)". The record is from RNAcentral. Lineage: Eukaryota; Viridiplantae; Streptophyta; Magnoliopsida; Malvales; Malvaceae.
CACUUGGAAGAAAGGCAAACGUUCAAAGCGACUACGGACCGACUCCCCUACUACCCCCACCACCGAAGAAGAGUAUCUUGCUCUCUGCCUCAUCAUGCUAGCUCGUGGCUCCCCCCAGGGCGCUGCUCAUCAUCAUCCUCACUCUUCCUCCUCAUCUGCUCAUCCUCUUCAUUUGAACUUGUCAUACAAGUGCAGCGUCUGCAACAAGGCUUUCCCGUCUUAUCAAGCUCUGGGUGGGCACAAAGCCAGCCACCGUAAACCCUCCACCGCCCAAAACCCAUCUAUAACCUCUGAAACCAACGCCGCCGGCAGUAGCGGGAGGGGUAGGUCCCAUGAGUGUUCUAUCUGCCACAAGUCUUUCCCUACGGGACAAGCCUUGGGAGGCCACAAACGCUGCCACUACGAAGGUGGCAACAACAACAGCAGCAGUUACAAAAGCGGUAGCGUGAGUGGGGUGACGUUGUCAGACGGCGGCGCGUUGAGCCAAAGCCACCGUCUCAACUUUGACUUUGACCUAAACAUGCCCGCUUGUGUGGAAAAUGAAGACGGAAGAUUUGGUCAAAUCUAUGCAGAACAAGAGGUGGAAAGUCCAU